AACGAACGCUGGCGGCAUGCCUAACACAUGCAAGUCGAACGAGACCUUCGGGUCUAGUGGCGCACGGGUGCGUAACGCGUGGGACCCUGCCCUUAGGUUCGGAAUAACUCCCCGAAAGGGGUGCUAAUACCGGAUAAUGUCUUCGGACCAAAGAUUUAUCGCCUUUGGAUGGGCCCGCGUUGGAUUAGCUAGUUGGUAGGGUAAAAGCCUACCAAGGCGACGAUCCAUAGCUGGUCUGAGAGGAUGAUCAGCCACACUGGGACUGAGACACGGCCCAGACUCCUACGGGAGGCAGCAGUGGGGAAUAUUGGACAAUGGGCGAAAGCCUGAUCCAGCAAUGCCGCGUGAGUGAUGAAGGCCUUAGGGUAGUAAAGCUCUUUUACCCGGGAUGAUAAUGACAGUACCGGGAGAAUAAGCACCGGCUAACUCCGUG
RNAcentral lists this ribosomal RNA (433 nucleotides) under uncultured bacterium. RNAcentral describes it as "partial 16S ribosomal RNA". It matches the Rfam family "Bacterial small subunit ribosomal RNA", at positions 29 to 507 of the family's 1533-position model. The record is from RNAcentral.